This 497-nucleotide ribosomal RNA is filed under the name uncultured bacterium. RNAcentral's name for it is "partial 16S ribosomal RNA". It matches the Rfam family "Bacterial small subunit ribosomal RNA", at positions 28 to 507 of the family's 1533-position model. The record is from RNAcentral.
GAUGAACGCUGGCGGCGUGCCUAAUACAUGCAAGUCGAGCGACCAGACGAGGAGCUUGCUCCUCUGACGUUAGCGGCGGACGGGUGAGUAACACGUGGAUAACCUACCUAUCAGACUGGGAUAACUUCGGGAAACCGGAGCUAAUACCGGAUCAUAUAUUGAACCGCUUGGUUCAAUAGUGAAAGACGGUUUUGCUGUCCCUUAUAGAUGGAUCCGCGCCGCAUUAGCUAGUUGGUAAGGUAACGGCUUACCAAGGCAACGAUGCGUAGCCGACCUGAGAGGGUGAUCGGCCACACUGGAACGGAGACACGGUCCAGACUCCUACGGGAGGCAGCAGUAGGGAAUCUUCCGCAAUGGGCGAAAGCCUGACGGAGCAACGCCGCGUGAGUGAUGAAGGUCUUCGGAUCGUAAAUCUCUGUUAUUAGGGAAGAACAAAUGUGUAAGUAACUAUGCACGUCUUGACGGUACCUAAUCAGAAAGCAACGGCUAACUACGUG